GUGUCAGCAGCCGCGGUAAUACGUAGGGGGCGAGCGUUGUCCGGAAUGACUGGGCGUAAAGGGCGCGUAGACGGCUGUCUAAGUCUGGAGUGAAAGUCCUGCUUUCAAGGUGGGAAUUGCUUUGGAGACUGGAUGGCUUGAGUGCGGAAGAGGUAAGUGGAAUUCCCAGUGUAGCGGUGAAAUGCGUAGAGAUUGGGAAGAACACCAGUGGCGAAGGCGACUUACUGGGCCGUAACUGACGUUGAUGCGCGAAAGCGUGGGGAGCGAACAGGAUUAGAUACCCUGGUAGUCC
Molecule: ribosomal RNA, 292 nt
Filed under: uncultured bacterium
Lineage: Bacteria
Description: partial 16S ribosomal RNA
Rfam family: Bacterial small subunit ribosomal RNA
Source: RNAcentral